Molecule: long non-coding RNA, 3081 nt
Organism: Manduca sexta (tobacco hornworm)
Lineage: Eukaryota; Metazoa; Arthropoda; Insecta; Lepidoptera; Sphingidae
Exons: 3
Source: RefSeq, a predicted model, not a curated record
UUAUACUUACAUUUACACUUUGAGACGCUGCGGCGUUCCAGACUGAUAGCAAAGACUUCCAUAGUUUAACUUAAAUGGAAAUCCUAACAGCAUGCCCAAUAAGGUUUAUGGCUUGUAACCUACCUAAAUGAAUAUCUCGCCGUAUGUUCUCGUCUGGAGAGAUUCCGUGUGGUUGGGAGCUUAAAGCCGCACCCUCUGAGGUCUGAUGCUCUUAGCGGACUUAUAUGGAGGUGAAUGCAUGACCACAAAGCGGUGAUUCUUGAGCCAUCCGGUUGGAGGCGACUGGCAAUCGCCCGGUACUUCCCUCGUAGAGUGGGGAGGAUCCGAUUUAAUUAUGCUUUAACAUUAGUAACCUCACUUUGAGAUGAUGCCGAAAAGGCUCUAUAACAAUAUUAAUAUCUCGCCGUUUGUGCUCGUCUGGAGAGAUUCCGUGUGGUUGGGAGCUUAUAGCCGCACCCUCUGAUGUCUAGUGUUCUGAGCGAUCUCGUAUGGAGGUGAAUGCAUGACCACAAAGCGGUGAUCCUUGAGUCAUCCGGUUGGAGGCGACUAGCAAUCGCCCGGUACUUCCCUCGUAGAGUGGGGGAGGAUCCGAUUUAAUUGUGCUUUAACAUUAGUAAUAACUUAGAGAUGAUGCCGAAAAGGCUCUAUAACAAUUACGAAUUUGUUUGUGCACUUGCUUAUUGUACCAAAUCAAAAUCUGGAACGUCGCGUUACUCUUUUACUAUUUUUAGCACCCUUAGGACUAAUAUAAAGCUUUGGCUCUAACUUAUAUUCACGAGAUUGAACUUGUACUAAAUUAUUGUUCUAAUCUUGACCAAGAUAACCAUCCAGUAUCAGUUCUAUAAGUCUUGGUAGCCUACUCACUGGCAUUGCGACAGCAAUGUCAUAGAUUCAUUUAUAAUUAACAGGAGCAGUCUCUCUGACGUGAUACGAUAAGGAAUUUGCCGCCAUCUAGGAAUGUUGUCUUGGAAGACCACAGUCCGUAUAACACAGAACAUUACAAGGUAUGUCAUGAUGCUGUUAUCUUUCGUUUCCUUCCGACAUAUGAUAAACUUAUUAAAACCCUUACUCAUAAAUGCGAAGCAGAUUUAGACAUAGUUAAUUUUGUUCUCAUAUCAAGAGAUAACCGACACUUACAGACAUUGAACAUACCUAAUUUUAUAUUUUUAUUAGGUGCGACAUCAUCGCACGUGAUAUUUUACCUUUUCGCCACUAAACCCCCAAACGGGCGAAAACAUGGUGGAGAUGCUGGGAUUGAUCCCAUAAUAAAAAAUUAAAUUAUUGUCGGAAGGAAAAUGAAUGGCAUCGUUGACAUAUACCUAAACAAAAACAAAUCAUUGCUAAAAAGGAAAAAAAAUUUUUUUUUGGUAUUUGUUUAUUAUCAUCCAGGAAAACCCUCGCUUACUCGAAACCUAUAAAACUCUUAUACAAUGUGGUGUUACUUGAAAGAACUGUAAUUACUUCUACGUUGUCUACAAAAGGAAAGUAAGAAUUUACUUUAAAACAUCGAGACUUCCUAGUAGACUGUCUGGAAUAAAUUGCAAUUAAUAUUGUUAAAUUACCGUCAUGUAUGUGUUGUGUGUCAAAUUCACCAUUAAUAAUAAUACGCGUCUACAUAUGGCGCGCAUGAUGAAUAACAAUGGAAAUUAUAAAAGUCCUGAUAAAUAAUAUUCAAUGUUACAUUAUGUAUGUUAAAUUUCAUGAAGUUAGGAAUUUUAGGUAGGUAAAAUUAUAAUUGAAUUUGUCAAUUUAGUUAAGGUACAAAGUAUUUUUUCGCUUAAGCUUCGCGUUUUAGAUUCAAUAUGUAAAUACUUUACUUCGAAAGAUUUUUAAAGAAUAAUACUAGUAUAAUUUAUCCGUUUGAAUUUUAGGUUACAGGUAGGGUGAUAACCAUGAACCACAUAACUUUUACCAAAAUUGUAAUGGUUCAGAAAACAUUCUAUUGACCGGAAAUGCUCGAUCAAAAUGCGCACUAGGGAUGUGCUUGUGGGCGUUUUGCAUUUAUGACCGAAUUUAGACUAUGUUAUAAUCGAAAAGUUUUGACGAUCGCAUUAAAUUUUUAAAUAUGUAGAUUGGACAGACAAAAUAGCAUUUGUUUUUAAAAAAAAAUCUGUUAAUUAGUAAUGCAACAAUGUCGUAAUACUUGAUUCAAGCGAAGAAAUCUAUUAAAAUAUCUUAGGUAUGACUUAAUAGGAACAGGAAUGAAAAACCUCAUAUAUUAUAAUUAUAUACCAAAAUUGAAUUUUCUCUUUCUAUUUCCUUAUAUGACUGUUGUGUAAUAAUUCUAACGGUUUGUUAGCUUAUAUUUACGCAUUCCUUUCUAAAACAAUAUUUUCUUCCACUACUAUAUGGAGCAAUAUUUUCAUAUUUUAACGCAAGCGUAACCGUAAAGUUUCUUUGUUUUAUAAAUAUAUAUAAAAAAAAAAAAAUGGGGUGGAAUUUAUUGUUAUAUAGUCAUGAUAUAAAAUAGAAAGGGUGAAAAUUUAAAUUAACUGUGUGGACAACAUUCACAAGUAAUGUUUUGUGUAAAGGGAAAGUAUCCUUAGAUGAGAGAUAAAGUAAUUAUAUUUUUUUCAUAUUCACGAAAAACAAUUCGAUCAUUAUACGAUUAUCGAUUUUCGAUUUUAUUUAUUUACAAACUAGUGCCACAUCUCUAAAACCGCGCGCUUACGCAGCUCGCUUGAAGCGGCCAUUUUGUGCGGUUUUGUGUUUCGAUGUGCCUAGUAAAUCGAAAAGUUUGCAAUAAUAAUUAUUGUAGUGCCUGCGUGACGGUAUAUGUGAACAGGAUCCAUAGAAACUUUUGGGUACUUACAAGAGCAGUCUCUCUGACGUGAUACGAUAAGGAAUUUGCCGCCAUCUAGGAAUGUUGUCUUGGAAGACCACAGUCCGUAUAACACAGAACAUUACAAGGUGCGACAUCAUCGCACGUGAUAUUUUACCUUUUCGCCACUAAACCCCCAAACGGGCGAAAACAAAUGCAAUUACGAACACUAUUACUUCAGAGAAAGAUAUAAAAUCACCUAUAAUUACUUAUUAUUAACCACUUAUCAGUUGAUAACAUGGUCCACAAUAUUGAUAUAA